GAUGAACGCUGGCGGCGUGCCUAACGCAUGCAAGUCGAGCGAGGACCGCCCGGUGGCAACACCGGGUUGGUGCCUAGCGGCGAACGGGUGAGUAACACGUGGGUAACCUGCCCCCGACACCGGGAUAAGCCUGGGAAACUGGGUCUAAUACCGGAUAUGAGCCUCCUCCGCAUGGUGGGGGCUGGAAAGGGUCUCCGGUCGGGGAUGGGCCCGCGUCCUAUCAGCUUGUUGGUGGGGUAACGGCCUACCAAGGCGACGACGGGUAGCCGGCCUGAGAGGGUGUACGGCCACACUGGGACUGAGACACGGCCCAGACUCCUACGGGAGGCAGCAGCGGGGAAUAUUGCGCAAUGGGCGAAAGCCUGACGCAGCGACGCCGCGUGCGGGACGAAGGCCUUCGGGUUGUAAACCGCUUUCAGCAGGGACGAAGCGAAAGUGACGGUACCUGCAGAAGAAGGUCCGGCCAACUACGUGCCAGCCGCCGCCGUAACAC
This 493-nucleotide ribosomal RNA is filed under the name uncultured bacterium. Its description in RNAcentral is "bacterial SSU rRNA". It matches the Rfam family "Bacterial small subunit ribosomal RNA", at positions 28 to 526 of the family's 1533-position model. The record is from RNAcentral.